Molecule: ribosomal RNA, 216 nt
Filed under: uncultured bacterium
Lineage: Bacteria
Description: partial 16S ribosomal RNA
Rfam family: Bacterial small subunit ribosomal RNA
Source: RNAcentral
GCAAGUCGAAUGGGCUUAGACCCAUGGCAAACGAGGUAGUAACAGGUAGGUACCUGCCCCCCAGUCAAGGAUAACCUGGAGAAAUCCAGAAUAAUACUUGAUAGUCUAGCAAUAGUAAAGAUUUAUCGCUGGGGGAUGGGCCUGCUGAGUAUCAGCUUGUUGGUAGUGUAAUGGACUACCAAGGCUACGACGCUUAGAGGACCUGAGAGGGUGUUC